CAAGAAAGAAAUGAGGAAGAAUCUGAAGGUCAGAUUGUAAAGAACCCAUCCCCACUUUCUCUUGGAACAUGGAAGUCUGAGAGGCUUCUGAGAGGUGCUAGCUAGUCCUGAAUCAUUUCCUGGCAUGGCCACUUUUUAAUCUUCUGUAUGGGAAUCUGGUCUCCAAGUCAAUUCCCAUUUGCUCUGUACCUCUCUACUGAGCCUGCUAAAGGAAGAGGCUAAGAGGCAUGAAAAUAUAUGACCUCUACUUACCUACCUAUUUUGAGGAGGCUAGGAGGCUGCAGAUGGUAUAGGAUUGGGGAUGAGAUAAGGGCCAUUUGUUGAGUAGAGAGGGUGUCAGUAAAGAAAAAGAGGAGCUGGAGCAAAAAACAGAGAAGAUACUAGAGAGGGAGAUGACC
This 398-nucleotide long non-coding RNA is filed under the name Bos taurus (domestic cattle). Its description in RNAcentral is "long non-coding RNA NONBTAT016090". The record is from RNAcentral. Lineage: Eukaryota; Metazoa; Chordata; Mammalia; Artiodactyla; Bovidae.